GGAGACGUGGCCGAGUGGUCGAAGGCGCUCCCCUGCUAAGGGAGUAGGCCCGGAAGGGUCUCGUGGGUUCGAAUCCCAUCGUCUCCG
Molecule: transfer RNA, 87 nt
Rfam family: tRNA
About the family: Transfer RNA (tRNA) molecules are approximately 80 nucleotides in length.
Source: Rfam